Molecule: long non-coding RNA, 594 nt
Organism: Gallus gallus (chicken)
Lineage: Eukaryota; Metazoa; Chordata; Aves; Galliformes; Phasianidae
Source: Ensembl
UGGUGAUGAGGGAAGGAGAAGUGAAGAAACUAUGCAGAUCUGUACCAAGAAAAUACCCUAAGCAAGAGCAAAUUCAUGCUUCCUCAGCAAAAAUAAGUCAACAUAAAUGAAAGGAGCCUGUUCUCAUAAUCCACAAAGGUAUACUCUUUGCUGUGUAAGGAGCUGGCUGGAGGGCCGGGCCCAGAGGGUGGUAGUGAAUGGAGUUAAAUCCAGCUGGCAACCCGUCAUGGUGUUCCUCAGGGGUCAGUACUGGGGUCUGUCCUGUACAAUAUCUUUACUGAUGACCUGGAUGAGAGCACUGAGUACACCCUCAGGGACAGAGUACAGAAGAUCCAUUCCUACCUCCUGCUCCAGCCUUCCUGCUCCCUCCAGACAGUGCAUCCCAUGGAGACCCUGGAGCAAAUUUCUGCAUUCAGGAGACUGCUGGUUGCUUGUGUAUAGCCCCAUCAUCACCAAGCAAAGACAGUCACUGCUAACACCAUCUUCCUGAACUGAUGUUUUUGGAGGGCUUUAAUACUAAAAAUUGAUCAUAUUGGAAAGAAGUGUAUGAAAUAAAAUAUUGCCUAUAUGUGAUAAAUAAUAAAUAAAGAGAAC